AUCUUCAACAAAAGCAAUUGUCACCACCUGCGCCUCCAUCAGUUCAUUCAACUGCAAAUGCAAAUGGAAAUGCCAGUGGUAAAUGAAGAGAUCAAGGUAUUAUUAUGUUUAUAUCUGUCUUGUUCACCUUUUUUUUUUACAAUUAUGUACUCAAUUUCUGUAUGAUUUUCAAUUAAGGAGUUACAAUUAUUAACUCAUGGUUUUUCUGCUAUGCUUAAGCUUUACUUAUCUAUACAUGCAUGUUGUAAGUUUUUCUUGCCUUUGGACCUAAACCUAAACCUUUAGCCGAACAAUUCCUGCAUUACAUUUUACGGUAAAAACAAAAUGCUAAUCCUAUACUAUUUUUCCUACCAUACUAACCAGAUGACACACCAUUUCAUAUGUGUGUGUCUCUCUCUGUGUGUGUGUAUAUAUAUAUAUAUAUAUAUAUAUAUAUACAUAGAUAGAUAUAUACUUUUUCCCCUUAUUUAGAAAGAACAAUUAAACUAGAACUGUCUUAUUCAAAAUUCAUGCUGUUUUAGUUGCCAAUCAAUUAAUGCCAAAAAACAGGCAAAAUCGUGCUUCGCUUUAGACCUAAAGCUAACUCUUAAGUAUAUCUGUCGAACUGGGAAUGUGGUAGACACUGAUAUGGUAAUUGCAUGCAGUCGAUGUGGUUUGUAUUCCUUUGUUUUUCAUUUCAAAAUCUACGAUUAACAUGGUCACAUGACUGUAGCUGCAGGCAAUAGUAACACAGACUUCAUUCCUACAAAAAUGAAUCUGCUUAAUUCUCCUGAUGUCCGGACAUUGCAUCCCAUGCCUUUUGCUGGUGGUUCUGCUCAACUGAAUACCAAUGUUGAAUUCCCUUAAAUUGAAUAUUCCUAAAUACUAAAUCCCUUCAUAGGAGAUUCCCUGCAACUGGAACAUAAAAAUACCACUCAUACACAACAGCCUGCAGGGUCUGCAGCAGCCUCUGCAUUAUCACCAGCUUACAGGGAUUGCUUCAACU
RNAcentral lists this long non-coding RNA (985 nucleotides) under Solanum tuberosum (potato). RNAcentral describes it as "long non-coding RNA (STUB_LNC001181)". The record is from RNAcentral. Lineage: Eukaryota; Viridiplantae; Streptophyta; Magnoliopsida; Solanales; Solanaceae.